RNAcentral lists this ribosomal RNA (253 nucleotides) under uncultured bacterium. Its description in RNAcentral is "partial 16S ribosomal RNA". It matches the Rfam family "Bacterial small subunit ribosomal RNA", at positions 524 to 776 of the family's 1533-position model. The record is from RNAcentral.
UACGUAGGGUGCAAGCGUUAAUCGGAAUUACUGGGCGUAAAGCGUGCGCAGGCGGUUAUGCAAGACAGAUGUGAAAUCCCCGGGCUUAACCUGGGAACCGCAUUUGUGACUGCAUAGCUGGAGUACGGCAGAGGGGGAUGGAAUUCCGCGUGUAGCAGUGAAAUGCGUAGAUAUGCGGAGGAACACCGAUGGCGAAGGCAGUCCCCUGGGCCUGUACUGACGCUCAUGCACGAAAGCAUGGGGAGCAAACAGG